This 253-nucleotide unclassified non-coding RNA is filed under the name uncultured Pirellulaceae bacterium. RNAcentral's name for it is "contains 16S-23S intergenic spacer region". It matches the Rfam family "Bacterial small subunit ribosomal RNA", at positions 524 to 776 of the family's 1533-position model. The record is from RNAcentral. Lineage: Bacteria; Pseudomonadati; Planctomycetota; Planctomycetia; Pirellulales; Pirellulaceae.
UACGAACCGUGCAAACGUUAUUCGGAAUCACUGGGCUUAAAGGGUGCGUAGGCGGCCAUGUAAGUGAGGUGUGAAAUCCCUCGGCUCAACCGAGGAACUGCGCUUCAUACUGCAUGGCUUGAGGGAGACAGGGGUAAGCGGAACUGAUGGUGGAGCGGUGAAAUGCGUUGAUAUCAUCAGGAACACCGGUGGCGAAAGCGGCUUACUGGGUCUCUUCUGACGCUGAGGUACGAAAGCUUGGGUAGCGAACAGG